Long non-coding RNA from Solanum pennellii, 1410 nucleotides. RefSeq lists it as uncharacterized. NCBI's taxonomy places the organism in Eukaryota, Viridiplantae, Streptophyta, Magnoliopsida, Solanales, Solanaceae. The record is from RefSeq and is a predicted model, not a curated record. The transcript has 5 exons.
UUACUCUACCAAUUUAGCACGGUUUGACUUUAUUCUCUUCAAGCUCGAAUUAGAGAUUUCCCUAAAUUCACAGUUUUUGGGAUUAUUCAUAUAAGAUGUCAUCCGACAGUGAUGGUGAUAGACAUCGCGGGCAUCUUGGAGUUAUCUAGACUAAACAUGCUAAAAAAACAAGAAGUCUAGGAGAUCCAUAGAUCCUGAGGAUAUUGCAGGGUCUAUUUCUUUUACGCUAGAGCCCAUAAGCCAUGAUACUCAUUUAUUUGUAGAGCCAUGAUACUCAUUUAUUUGUAGUUUUGUUUGGUAUGGAGGAUCCUCAGCAAUAUUAUCUUAAUUAUCAUCAACCAGUCGGUGCUUCCUCUACAUCACUGUCAUUGACUCCACGAUUCUAUAAGGACUUACCUUUACAGGCUAUUCGUCGAGCAUGACCCUUAUCGGAAGAUACUCCAUUUCCCACAUAUACAUCUCCUUAGUUAUCUGCCAUGAGAAUUUGAGAUUCUAGUAGCGAAAAGUCAGAUGUUAUUGACGGUACACCUCCAUUUACUCAGCAUUUGGUGCAUCAUGAUGUAUCACCCUCAUCUACAGCUACACCUAGUGCUACACUAGAUGGUCAGAUGCCUUCUUUAGCUCCUGGACAGAAGGACAGACUAAGGUGGCAUCCUACAAAGAUGUUGCCCCGUCUUUAAAAGAUUGUGUUAGAAGAGUCUAUACACAGGCUUAUUACUCUUGGAGAGAGAUUCCAAAUAGUAUACGCCAGAAGAAGUUUAAUAACUUUAAGGCUAUGUGUACUUGCGAGUCGAGGUACAAUUUCUUCAUUGGGACUACAUUUAAGAGGAAGGCCUCCGCUAGACUGUCUAGUUGGCUAAAGAAAAUUUGUGAUAGUGGAGAAUGUCCGGAUUGGAUGUUGCCUCAUGUUUUUGAUGAAUUGGGUCUGUACUGGAACACAGAUAAGUUUAAGACAAUAUCAGAAUAAGCUAAAAAGGCUAGAGAUAGUCUCAAGGGUGGCUCGUUGUACAGCGUAGGUACAAAGACCGUUGGAACAAUUUCAAGAGAGAUGAAUGAGUUUCGUCACUACGUCGAUGAGAAUCUAGAUAGUUCAGAGUCUAUGGUCCAGGCUCUCAAAACGAUGUAAGAUGACUCUAGUCAGGCUUAGAAGGUAUUGGAUCAUCACGUCAACUCAAGGCACUUAACGGUGUUCAUAUUGCUUCUAUGUCAUCUCAAAUAGCACAACUCACAACGGCAGGCAGAGUCAGAAUGUAGAAGUGUAGAUCAACAAUGAAGCAUAAGCAAGACUGUUGAACAAAUCAAAUAAAAAGUGAUGAACCUCGCUCAUUGAUCUACUACUUAGGCUCCCAAGGACAUCGAUCACUGUGAUGAUGAGUAUGAUUAUGUAUAUCCCACUUCAUGGACAAUAUU